Molecule: ribosomal RNA, 376 nt
Filed under: uncultured bacterium
Lineage: Bacteria
Description: bacterial SSU rRNA
Rfam family: Bacterial small subunit ribosomal RNA
Source: RNAcentral
UACGUAGGGAGCAAGCGUUAUCCGGAAUUACUGGGUGUAAAGGGUGCGUAGGCGGGAGAUAAAGUCAGAUGUGAAAUGCCAAGGCUUAACCUUGGAUGUGCAUUUGAAACUUAUCUUCUUGAGUGAAGUAGAGGCAAGCGGAAUUCCCAGUGUAGCGGUAAAAUGCGUAGAUAUUGGGAGGAACACCAGUGGCGAAGGCGGCUUGCUGGGCUUUAACUGACGCUGAGGCACGAAAGCAUGGGGAGCAAACAGGAUUAGAUACCCUGGUAGUCCAUGCCGUAAACGAUGGAUACUAGGUGUGAGGGGUACUGACCCCCCUCGUGCCGCAGUUAACACAAUAAGUAUCCCACCUGGGGAGUACGACCGCAAGGUUAAA